CACUAAGGAAUAGCUGCAGUUCUACGUUACUGGCGCAGAAACUCUAUGGUCCCAAGUGCCAGACCUGCCACAGUUCUACUUCCGGCCUGGUUUGCCCCCCACCGCCGACCUGCCUCGCAGUGCAUCAUGGGGCGCGUCCUGUCAGGCAGCUGUCUGGUCUACAAGGGCUUGGAUGGCUCUGUGAGUUUGGACCUGAAAGCACUUUUAAAAUACACAGUCUUCAAACUGAUAUUUGGGAAUUAAUAGUUUUUGUGACUGUCAAAGACUUGUGAGUAAAAAAUUUUUACUAAUGUCUAGGGAAUGAGAUAACAGUAUUUACUCUUCUCACAUUGAACGGAAGGAUGAAAGCACUCAGCCUCUUCUGUCUUGCUGUUCGUUUGCUCUUGAAGCUUUCAGCAAAGGGCGGGAGGUAGCAAAGGAGGCAGUGGGCUGCACUAAGUGGCGGAGGGUGGACUUUUCUGGCAUCUUGCAAACCCUGUCAGCCGCAGACUGAACAGCUCCUGUGGCGGGUGCCCACAUCUGCGGCGCCUCUGAGAGCACGCCACGCACCAAACACCUGUGGGGUUAGGUCUAUCUGGGAACAGUCAGCCAUGCUCGGGCAUCCCGAUGGUGAAGGGCGGCCCUCUGUGCCCUUGGAGGCUGGCUAAGUCCAAGUGAUAACACGGAUGAGAUCUGUGACCUCUUGAGGCUCCUUGCUUUCCCGUGAUGCUGGGACUGAAAGUCAAGCAGAGUUCAGCCCCUGCUUUCUAAGCCAUCUUGGACACUUGCCAUUUCAGAAGUUAAUCUCAUCCAUCUUGGAGUCUGCCACUUAGCAGCUGUGUGGAAAUACUGCCAGCCUCUAAAAACAUUAAAAUGGUACAGAAAACUGUGCUUUGGACUCAUUAGGGAAUUGAUCACCUUCUAUAUGGAAACUCUUUCAGGCUCCAGAGAUGUGAAAAUGGUAUGAAGCCUAUGUGUUUCACCUGUUGGGGAUCAUUCAUUGGCACCUCCACUUUCAAGAGUACAAAGAUAAUUGAGGUUGGCUGGUUUGCCAUGUCUGAAGUGAACGUCACCAUGCCAUCAAACCCUAGUGCCAAGCCCUAUCUGGAACUGAAAGACACCCAGUAAAGUGUUUGCUGAGUGGCUGAAUAAAUGAAUAAAUGA
This is a non-coding RNA of Manis javanica (Malayan pangolin), 1143 nucleotides long. NCBI's taxonomy places the organism in Eukaryota, Metazoa, Chordata, Mammalia, Pholidota, Manidae. The record is from RefSeq and is a predicted model, not a curated record.